Long non-coding RNA from Scophthalmus maximus (turbot), 961 nucleotides. RefSeq lists it as uncharacterized. NCBI's taxonomy places the organism in Eukaryota, Metazoa, Chordata, Actinopteri, Pleuronectiformes, Scophthalmidae. The record is from RefSeq and is a predicted model, not a curated record. The transcript is spliced from 2 exons.
AUAGUCUGUAUGAAAAAAAGAAAAGAACAAAUAGUCCAAAAACAUGACAGUUCUUCUGCUGACAGCUUUCAGAGGCACCUGGGCACUUGGAAGUUAAAGUUAUGAGCAGACGUGUGGACUACAACAUUUUUUUAAAAUUAUGUUUCCUUGAUAAGCACUACAGCCUAUAUUGUCCCUGUCGGAGCUGGACACGUUAACACCAAAAGCUGGCAGGUUACUCUACCUAGAGGAGCGGCGCGCAGCGCAGGGCGGCAGACCGAGCCGCCGACGGCACGGCGCAGGGCCGUCGCGAGCCCACGUCUGAGGAGGACCUCCAUGACACACUGAAUACUGAAGAGAGACACACAGACACACAGAGCUGCCCCUUUGAAAUAUGUCAGGACUACUUAACUUCUCUGGAUCAGCAUGGGUCAAGUCACCAGAGGGAAUUUAAAGCUAGACAGAAGAGAAGAAAAAAGAAAACCCGGAGCUCUGUGAUGAAAGGCUGGACAGAGGCGGCCUUAUAUGGCCAUGUUUCCAGCACAGCAGCAACAUCAACCUGCAGGGAAACUGCGUUCUACACCCUCCUCUUCUGUCUGCUUGGCUUCAAGGUCGGGAUUUUGGACACUGUAGCAAGAGCGGGACGUGUCCAAUUAUGGCCAGGACCCCGCUCCGCUUCCGUCGAGCUCACGGCACGCGGCCUCGUCACGUCGACGGACCGGACCGGACCGGACCGGACUGGACUGGACCGGAACUGACGGACCGGACUGGACCGGACCGAGCCGAACUGGACUGGACUGGAACGGAACGGACCGGACCGGACUCGCGGUUAAUAACGCCCACCUCGCACCCACGUGACCCGAGCACCUGAGGAGGCGGCCAUCUUUUCAUUUAUAACCAUGACAAAGCAACUACAACAUGGCGGAGAGUGUACUCAUUGAAUUCUGUACUUUUGCUAUUGCCAUAAAGAACUUCGAAUGCA